RNAcentral lists this ribosomal RNA (397 nucleotides) under uncultured bacterium. Its description in RNAcentral is "partial 16S ribosomal RNA". It matches the Rfam family "Bacterial small subunit ribosomal RNA", at positions 523 to 918 of the family's 1533-position model. The record is from RNAcentral.
AUACGUAGGGGGCGAGCGUUGUCCGGAAUGAUUGGGCGUAAAGGGCGCGUAGGCGGCCCGGUAAGUCUGGAGUGAAAGUCCUGUUUUUAAGAUGGGAAUUGCUUUGGAUACUGUCGGGCUUGAGUGCAGGAGAGGUAAGUGGAAUUCCCAGUGUAGCGGUGAAAUGCGUAGAGAUUGGGAGGAACACCAGUGGCGAAGGCGACUUACUGGACUGUAACUGACGCUGAGGCGCGAAAGUGUGGAGAGCAAACAGGAUUAGAUGCCCUGGUAGUCCACACUGUAAACGAUGAAUGCUAGGUGUAGGGGGUAUCUACCCCUUCUGUGCCGCAGUCAACACAAUAAGCAUUCCGCCUGGGGAGUACGGCCGCAAGGUUGAAACUCAAAGGAAUUAACGGGG